This is an RNA transcript of Zingiber officinale, 1332 nucleotides long. It is a transcript of the gene named thioredoxin-like protein AAED1, chloroplastic, with no coding region annotated. The record is from RefSeq and is a predicted model, not a curated record. NCBI's taxonomy places the organism in Eukaryota, Viridiplantae, Streptophyta, Magnoliopsida, Zingiberales, Zingiberaceae. The transcript has 10 exons.
CGGUAAUUUAUUAUUUAUCAGAUUGUUCAAAUUUGUGGUGCCAUUUCCCCGAUCCCCAAUGGCGAUGCCCAUUCGAGCUACUUCGCCGGCGACAGCCAAUCUCGCCGGGAAAAGGUUCAUGCGCUGCCGAUCCUCCGCUUCCGUUACUGCUACGAGAAUUCGUAACUUCGACCAAGCCUUCCGCCUCUUCUCUCCCCCCAAGGAGAGGAUCCGGUGCUCCCGCUUCUUCCCUCCUCUCUUUGCAGUGUCCGAGCCCAUAGGUGGUGCUUCUGCAGUCACUUAUGAAGACCUCACAAAUUCCCUGGAAAAUGUAGAAGUUUUUGAUGUUAUUGGUAAAGCUAUUCGCAUAACUGAUCUGUGGAGAGAUAGGAAAGCUGUAAUUGCAUUUGCACGCCAUUUUGGAUGUGUCUUUUGCCGUAAACGUGCUGAUCUUCUUGCUUCCAAAAAGGAGCUCAUGGAUGCAGCCGGAGUCGCACUUGUUUUGGUUGGGCCUGGUACCGUUGAACAGGCAAAGGCAUUUAUUGAGCAAACCAAAUUUGAAGGAGAAGUUUAUGCAGAUCCUACCCAUUCAUCUUAUGAUGCAAUCAAGUUUGCUUAUGGCGUUUUGACAACUUUUACUCCAUCUGCUGGUAAAAAGAUCCUAGAAUUAUACUUAGAAGGCUAUAGACAGGAUUGGGAGCUGUCAUUUAAAAAGAACACAGUUGAAAGAGGUGGUUGGCAACAAGGAGGCAUAAUCAUAGCAGGCCCUGGUGUGAACAACAUCUCAUACAUCCACAAGGAUAAGGAAGCUGGAGAUGAUCCACCUAUCGAAGAUAUUAUCAAAGCAUGCUGUCAAUGAGAAAAGGAUGGAUAACUGACCUACUUGUUUUACGGUACGCGAUGGACCGACGCCAUGGAGCAGCACUCGAACUUCUCGGAGCAGAGCAAUAAACAGAGGAGGCGGCCGCUGCCGAAGCGAGGCCAGGUCAAAGCCGGGAUCUUUAAGGGCAUCGCGAAGGCAGUCAUCCCCGUGGCCUUCAAGAAAAGAAGCGACGGUGGCUUCACCUCCGACGAGGCUUCUCCGGCGACGAAGAGCGGCUAUACUUCCAGCUUUGACGACGAAGACGAAGAUCGAUGAGUCGCGGAGAAUUCGGAGGAGAGUGAAUUCCUAUGAGUGUGUAUGUAUGUAUGUAUGUAUAUGUUUUUUUUGAAGCUCGGCUCUGUUUUUGAAGGGAAGGGAUAACGAUAGUUUCUCUUUUUUCUGUUCUUGCUACUGGAAGCUGGAAACAGAGUCAGUGGCAGGCAGGGCGGUGUCAUUUGGGAUGAUUUGUGAAUAAAAAAUUGUGAUUUAAA